CAAGAAACAGAAGAGAGGGAU
Molecule: microRNA, 21 nt
Filed under: Hevea brasiliensis (rubber tree)
Lineage: Eukaryota; Viridiplantae; Streptophyta; Magnoliopsida; Malpighiales; Euphorbiaceae
Description: hbr-miR6170
Source: miRBase by way of RNAcentral